UUAAGUUAUUAAGGGCGCACGGUGGAUGCCUUGGCACUAGAAGCCGAUGAAGGACGUUACUAACGACGAUAUGCUUUGGGGAGCUGUAAGUAAGCUUUGAUCCAGAGAUUUCCGAAUGGGGAAACCCAGCAUGAGUUAUGUCAUGUUAUCGAUAUGUGAAUACAUAGCAUAUCAGAAGGCACACCCGGAGAACUGAAACAUCUUAGUACCCGGAGGAAGAGAAAGAAAAUUCGAUUCCCUUAGUAGCGGCGAGCGAAACGGGAAGAGCCCAAACCAACAAGCUUGCUUGUUGGGGUUGUAGGACACUCUAUACGGAGUUACAAAGGACGACAUUAGACGAAUCAUCUGGAAAGAUGAAUCAAAGAAGGUAAUAAUCCUGUAGUCGAAAAUGUUGUCUCUCUUGAGUGGAUCCUGAGUACGACGGAGCACGUGAAAUUCCGUCGGAAUCUGGGAGGACCAUCUCCUAAGGCUAAAUACUCUCUAGUGACCGAUAGUGAACCAGUACCGUGAGGGAAAGGUGAAAAGCACCCGGAAGGGGAGUGAAAUAGAACCUGAAACCGUGUGCUUACAAGUAGUCAGAGCCCGUUAAUGGGUGAUGGCGUGCCUUUUGUAGAAUGAACCGGCGAGUUACGAUUUGAUGCAAGGUUAAGCAGUAAAUGUGGAGCCGUAGCGAAAGCGAGUCUGAAUAGGGCGUUUAGUAUUUGGUCGUAGACCCGAAACCAGGUGAUCUACCCUUGGUCAGGUUGAAGUUCAGGUAACACUGAAUGGAGGACCGAACCGACUUACGUUGAAAAGUGAGCGGAUGAACUGAGGGUAGCGGAGAAAUUCCAAUCGAACCUGGAGAUAGCUGGUUCUCUCCGAAAUAGCUUUAGGGCUAGCCUCAAGUGAUGAUUAUUGGAGGUAGAGCACUGUUUGGACGAGGGGCCCCUCUCGGGUUACCGAAUUCAGACAAACUCCGAAUGCCAAUUAAUUUAACUUGGGAGUCAGAACAUGGGUGAUAAGGUCCGUGUUCGAAAGGGAAACAGCCCAGACCACCAGCUAAGGUCCCAAAAUAUAUGUUAAGUGGAAAGGAUGUGGCGUUGCCCAGACAACUAGGAUGUUGGCUUAGAAGCAGCCAUCAUUUAAAGAGUGCGUAAUAGCUCACUAGUCGAGUGACACUGCGCCGAAAAUGUACCGGGGCUAAACAUAUUACCGAAGCUGUGGAUUGUCCUUUGGACAAUGGUAGGAGAGCGUUCUAAGGGCGUUGAAGCAUGAUCGUAAGGACAUGUGGAGCGCUUAGAAGUGAGAAUGCCGGUGUGAGUAGCGAAAGACGGGUGAGAAUCCCGUCCACCGAUUGACUAAGGUUUCCAGAGGAAGGCUCGUCCGCUCUGGGUUAGUCGGGUCCUAAGCUGAGGCCGACAGGCGUAGGCGAUGGAUAACAGGUUGAUAUUCCUGUACCACCUAUAAUCGUUUUAAUCGAUGGGGGGACGCAGUAGGAUAGGCGAAGCGUGCGAUUGGAUUGCACGUCUAAGCAGUAAGGCUGAGUAUUAGGCAAAUCCGGUACUCGUUAAGGCUGAGCUGUGAUGGGGAGAAGACAUUGUGUCUUCGAGUCGUUGAUUCACACUGCCGAGAAAAGCCUCUAGAUAGAAAAUAGGUGCCCGUACCGCAAACCGACACAGGUAGUCAAGAUGAGAAUUCUAAGGUGAGCGAGCGAACUCUCGUUAAGGAACUCGGCAAAAUGACCCGUAACUUCGGGAGAAGGGGUGCUCUUUAGGGUUAACGCCCAGAAGAGCCGCAGUGAAUAGGCCAAGCGACUGUUUAUCAAAAACACAGGUCUCUGCUAAACCGUAAGGUGAUGUAUAGGGGCUGACGCCUGCCCGGUGCUGGAAGGUUAAGAGGAGUGGUUAGCUUCUGCGAAGCUACGAAUCGAAGCCCCAGUAAACGGCGGCCGUAACUAUAACGGUCCUAAGGUAGCGAAAUUCCUUGUCGGGUAAGUUCCGACCCGCACGAAAGGCGUAACGAUUUGGGCACUGUCUCAACGAGAGACUCGGUGAAAUCAUAGUACCUGUGAAGAUGCAGGUUACCCGCGACAGGACGGAAAGACCCCGUGGAGCUUUACUGUAGCCUGAUAUUGAAAUUCGGCACAGCUUGUACAGGAUAGGUAGGAGCCUUUGAAACGUGAGCGCUAGCUUACGUGGAGGCGCUGGUGGGAUACUACCCUAGCUGUGUUGGCUUUCUAACCCGCACCACUUAUCGUGGUGGGAGACAGUGUCAGGCGGGCAGUUUGACUGGGGCGGUCGCCUCCUAAAAGGUAACGGAGGCGCUCAAAGGUUCCCUCAGAAUGGUUGGAAAUCAUUCAUAGAGUGUAAAGGCAUAAGGGAGCUUGACUGCGAGACCUACAAGUCGAGCAGGGUCGAAAGACGGACUUAGUGAUCCGGUGGUUCCGCAUGGAAGGGCCAUCGCUCAACGGAUAAAAGCUACCCCGGGGAUAACAGGCUUAUCUCCCCAAGAGUUCACAUCGACGGGGAGGUUUGGCACCUCGAUGUCGGCUCAUCGCAUCCUGGGGCUGUAGUCGGUCCCAAGGGUUGGGCUGUUCGCCCAUUAAAGCGGUACGCGAGCUGGGUUCAGAACGUCGUGAGACAGUUCGGUCCCUAUCCGUCGUGGGCGUAGGAAAUUUGAGAGGAGCUGUCCUUAGUACGAGAGGACCGGGAUGGACAUACCUCUGGUGUACCAGUUGUCGUGCCAACGGCAUAGCUGGGUAGCUAUGUGUGGACGGGAUAAGUGCUGAAAGCAUCUAAGCAUGAAGCCCCCCUCAAGAUGAGAUUUCCCAACUUCGGUUAUAAGAUCCCUCAAAGAUGAUGAGGUUAAUAGGUUCGAGGUGGAAGCAUGGUGACAUGUGGAGCUGACGAAUACUAAUCGAUCGAAGACUUAAUCAA
Molecule: ribosomal RNA, 2915 nt
Filed under: Staphylococcus aureus
Lineage: Bacteria; Bacillati; Bacillota; Bacilli; Caryophanales; Staphylococcaceae
Description: bacterial LSU rRNA
Rfam family: Bacterial large subunit ribosomal RNA
Source: RNAcentral